This 253-nucleotide ribosomal RNA is filed under the name uncultured bacterium. RNAcentral's name for it is "partial 16S ribosomal RNA". It matches the Rfam family "Bacterial small subunit ribosomal RNA", at positions 524 to 776 of the family's 1533-position model. The record is from RNAcentral.
UACGUAGGGAGCAAGCGUUGUCCGGAAUCAUUGGGCGUAAAGAGCGCGUAGGCGGCCCUGUAAGUCCGCUGUGAAAGUCAAGGGCUCAACCCUUGAAUGCCGGUGGAUACUGCAGGGCUAGAGUCCGGAAGAGGCGAGUGGAAUUCCUGGUGUAGCGGUGAAAUGCGCAGAUAUCAGGAGGAACACCGGUGGCGAAGGCGGUUCUCUGGGCCUUACCUGACGCUGAGGAGCGAAAGCGUGGGGAGCAAACAGG